UACGGGGGGGGCAAGCGUUGUUCGGAAUUACUGGGCGUAAAGGGCUCGUAGGCGGCCAACUAAGUCGGACGUGAAAUCCCCGGGCUCAACCUGGGAAUUGCAUUCGAUACUGGAUAGCUAGAGUUCGGCAGAGGGAAGCGGAAUUUCGGGUGUAGCGGUGAAAUGCGUAGAUAUCCGAAGGAACAUCAGUGGCGAAAGCGGCUUCCUGGACCAGAACUGACGAUCAGGCACGAAAGCGUGGGGAGCAAACAGG
RNAcentral lists this ribosomal RNA (253 nucleotides) under uncultured bacterium. RNAcentral describes it as "partial 16S ribosomal RNA". It matches the Rfam family "Bacterial small subunit ribosomal RNA", at positions 524 to 776 of the family's 1533-position model. The record is from RNAcentral.